RNAcentral lists this ribosomal RNA (762 nucleotides) under uncultured bacterium. RNAcentral describes it as "bacterial SSU rRNA". It matches the Rfam family "Bacterial small subunit ribosomal RNA", at positions 8 to 764 of the family's 1533-position model. The record is from RNAcentral.
AGAGUUUGAUCCUGGCUCAGAUUGAACGCUGGCGGCAGGCUUAACACAUGCAAGUCGAGCGGGGAUUAGGUGCUUGCACCUAAUCUUAGCGGCGGACGGGUGAGUAAUGCUUAGGAAUCUGCCAUUUAGUGGGGGACAACAUUCCGAAAGGGAUGCUAAUACCGCAUACGUCCUACGGGAGAAAGCAGGGGAUCUUCGGACCUUGCGCUAAAUGAUGAGCCUAAGUCGGAUUAGCUAGUUGGUGGGGUAAAGGCCUACCAAGGCGACGAUCUGUAGCGGGUCUGAGAGGAUGAUCCGCCACACUGGGACUGAGACACGGCCCAGACUCCUACGGGAGGCAGCAGUGGGGAAUAUUGGACAAUGGGCGGAAGCCUGAUCCAGCCAUGCCGCGUGUGUGAAGAAGGCCUUUUGGUUGUAAAGCACUUUAAGCGAGGAGGAGGCUACUUAGAUUAAUACUCUGAGAUAGUGGACGUUACUCGCAGAAUAAGCACCGGCUAACUCUGUGCCAGCAGCCGCGGUAAUACAGAGGGUGCGAGCGUUAAUCGGAUUUACUGGGCGUAAAGCGUGCGUAGGCGGCUGAUUAAGUCGGAUGUGAAAUCCCUGAGCUUAACUUAGGAAUUGCAUUCGAUACUGGUCAGCUAGAGUAUGGGAGAGGAUGGUAGAAUUCCAGGUGUAGCGGUGAAAUGCGUAGAGAUCUGGAGGAAUACCGAUGGCGAAGGCAGCCAUCUGGCCUAAUACUGACGCUGAGGUACGAAAGCAUGG